GAUGAACGCUGGCGGCGUGCCUAAUACAUGCCAGUCGAGCGAACAGACGAGGAGCUUGCUCCUCUGACGUUAGCGGCGGACGGGUGAGUAACACGUGGAUAACCUACCUAUAAGACUGGGAUAACUUCGGGAAACCGGAGCUAAUACCGGAUAAUAUAUUGAACCGCAUGGUUCAAUAGUGAAAGACGGUUUUGCUGUCACUUAUAGAUGGAUCCGCGCCGCAUUAGCUAGUUGGUAAGGUAACGGCUUACCAAGGCAUCGAUGCGUAGCCGACCUGAGAGGGUGAUCGGCCACACUGGAACUGAGACACGGUCCAGACUCCUACGGGAGGCAGCAGUAGGGAAUCUUCCGCAAUGGGCGAAAGCCUGACGGAGCAACGCCGCGUGAGUGAUGAAGGUCUUCGGAUCGUAAAACUCUGUUAUUAGGGAAGAACAAAUGUGUAAGUAACUAUGCACGUCUUGACGGUACCUAAUCAGAAAGCCACGGCUAACUACGUG
This 497-nucleotide ribosomal RNA is filed under the name uncultured bacterium. Its description in RNAcentral is "partial 16S ribosomal RNA". It matches the Rfam family "Bacterial small subunit ribosomal RNA", at positions 28 to 507 of the family's 1533-position model. The record is from RNAcentral.